UAGGGAAUCUUCCACAAUGGACGCAAGUCUGAUGGAGCAACGCCGCGUGAGUGAAGAAGGUUUUCGGACCGUAAAGCUCUGUUGUUGGUGAAGAAGGAUAGAGGUAGUAACUGGCCUUUAUUUGACGGUAAUCAACCAGAAAGUCACGGCUAACUACGUGCCAGCAGCCGCGGUAAUACGUAGGUGGCAAGCGUUGUCCGGAUUUAUUGGGCGUAAAGCGAGCGCAGGCGGAAGAAUAAGUCUGAUGUGAAAGCCCUCGGCUUAACCGAGGAAUUGCAUCGGAAACUGUUUUCUUGAGUGCAGAAGAGGAGAGUAGAACUCCAUGUGUAGCGGUGGAAUGCGUAGAUAUAUGGAAGAAUACCAGUGGCGAAGGCGGCUCUCUGGUCUGCAACUGACGCUGAGGCUCGAAAGCAUGGGUAGCGAACAGGAUUAGAUACCCUGGUAGUCCAUGCCGUAAAACGAUGAGUGCUAAGUGUUGGGAGGCUUCCGCCUCUCAGUGCUGCAGCUAACGCAUUAAGCACUCCGCCUGGGGAGUACGACCGCAAGGUUGAAAC
Molecule: ribosomal RNA, 554 nt
Filed under: uncultured bacterium
Lineage: Bacteria
Description: partial 16S ribosomal RNA
Rfam family: Bacterial small subunit ribosomal RNA
Source: RNAcentral